UACGGAGGAUCCAAGCGUUAUCCGGAUUUAUUGGGUUUAAAGGGUGCGCAGGCGGAAGAUUAAGUCGGCGGUGAAAUUUUGCAGCUCAACUGUAAAAGUGCCAUCGAUACUGGUUUUCUUGAGUGUGGAUGAAGUAGGCGGAAUUUGUGGUGUAGCGGUGAAAUGCAUAGAUAUCACGAGGAACUCCGAUUGCGCAGGCAGCUUACUAAACUACUACUGACGCUCAGGCACGAAGGCGUGGGGAUCAAACAGGAUUAGAUACCCU
This 265-nucleotide ribosomal RNA is filed under the name uncultured prokaryote. RNAcentral's name for it is "partial 16S ribosomal RNA". It matches the Rfam family "Bacterial small subunit ribosomal RNA", at positions 524 to 788 of the family's 1533-position model. The record is from RNAcentral.